GGUAAGCUGCAGCGUUCGAACGGCAACACAUUCCGUCGACCGUACAUUUCUGUCAGGGAGCUGGCUCUGGCGGGGACCGUGGUCCCCAUCACCUGGCGCCCACCUAGCUUGCUGGGUCGAACGGGAAUGACAAGCUCGUACGGCGCACGUGGCCCCGCC
This 159-nucleotide non-coding RNA is filed under the name Hyphomonadaceae bacterium. RNAcentral describes it as "6S RNA". It matches the Rfam family "6S / SsrS RNA". Rfam says of the family: E. coli 6S RNA was the first non coding RNA to be sequenced, but its function was unknown until recently. The record is from RNAcentral. Lineage: Bacteria; Pseudomonadati; Pseudomonadota; Alphaproteobacteria; Hyphomonadales; Hyphomonadaceae.